GGGACGAACGCUGGCGGCGUGCUUAACACAUGCAAGUCGAGCGGUAAGGCCUUUCGGGGUACACGAGCGGCGAACGGGUGAGUAACACGUGGGUGAUCUGCCCUGCACUUCGGGAUAAGCCUGGGAAACUGGGUCUAAUACCGGAUAUGACCUCCUAUCGCAUGGUGGGUGGUGGAAAGAUUUAUCGGUGCAGGAUGGGCCCGCGGCCUAUCAGCUUGUUGGUGGGGUAAUGGCCUACCAAGGCGACGACGGGUAGCCGACCUGAGAGGGUGACCGGCCACACUGGGACUGAGACACGGCCCAGACUCCUACGGGAGGCAGCAGUGGGAAUAUUGCACAAUGGGCGAAAGCCUGAUGCAGCGACGCCGCGUGAGGGAUGACGGCCUUGGGUUGUAAACCUCUUUCAGCAGGACGAAGCGCAAGUGACGGUACUGACAGAAGAAGACACCGGACUAACGUACGUCGUCAGCGAGCCGGC
Molecule: ribosomal RNA, 478 nt
Filed under: uncultured soil bacterium
Lineage: Bacteria
Description: bacterial SSU rRNA
Rfam family: Bacterial small subunit ribosomal RNA
Source: RNAcentral